This 73-nucleotide transfer RNA is filed under the name Canis lupus familiaris (dog). It matches the Rfam family "tRNA". From Rfam's summary of the family: Transfer RNA (tRNA) molecules are approximately 80 nucleotides in length. Their secondary structure includes four short double-helical elements and three loops (D, anti-codon, and T loops). RNAcentral also lists the same sequence under 1 other name. Lineage: Eukaryota; Metazoa; Chordata; Mammalia; Carnivora; Canidae. The record is from Rfam by way of RNAcentral.
GCCUGGCUGUCUCAGUUGGUAGAGAAUGUGAUUCUUGAUCUCAGGAUCAAGAGAUCAAGCCUCACGUUGGGCA